RNAcentral lists this ribosomal RNA (459 nucleotides) under uncultured Basidiomycota. RNAcentral describes it as "eukaryotic LSU rRNA". It matches the Rfam family "Eukaryotic large subunit ribosomal RNA", at positions 137 to 600 of the family's 3401-position model. The record is from RNAcentral. Lineage: Eukaryota; Fungi; Basidiomycota.
UCCGCGUUGUAAUCUCGAGACGUGUUUUCCGUGCGGCGCUAUGGACAAGUUCCUUGGAAUAGGACAUCGUAGAGGGUGAAAAUCCCGUACUUGCCAUGGAUGUACCGUGCUUUGUGAUACACGCUCUAAGAGUCGAGUAGUUUGGGAUUGCUGCUCAAAAGGGGUGGUAAACUCCAUCUAAAGCUAAAUAUCGGGGAGAGACCGAUAGCGAACAAGUACCGUGAGGGAAAGAUGAAAAGCACUUUGGAAAGAGAGUUAAAAGUACGUGAAAUUGUCGAAAGGGAAGCACUUGAAGUCAGCCAUGCGGCUCGAGACUCAGCCUGGCUCUGGCCGGGUGUACUUCUCGGGUGGCAAGUCAGCAUUGGUUUGAGUCGUCGGAGAAGAGGUUAGGAAUGUGGCAUCUUCGGGUGUGUUAUAGCCUAGCACUGGAUACGACGACCCAGACCAAGGAACGCAGUG